UACGACGGGGGCUAGCGUUGCUCGGAAUUACUGGGCGUAAAGCGCACGUAGGCGGUCUUUUAAGUCGGGGGUGAAAUCCUGGAGCUCAACUCCAGAACUGCCUUCGAUACUGGAAGACUUGAGUCCGGGAGAGGUGAGUGGAACUGCGAGUGUAGAGGUGAAAUUCGUAGAUAUUCGCAAGAACACCAGUGGCGAAGGCGGCUCACUGGCCCGAUACUGACGCUGAUGCACGAAAGCGUGGGGAGCAAACAGG
RNAcentral lists this ribosomal RNA (253 nucleotides) under uncultured bacterium. Its description in RNAcentral is "partial 16S ribosomal RNA". It matches the Rfam family "Bacterial small subunit ribosomal RNA", at positions 524 to 776 of the family's 1533-position model. The record is from RNAcentral.